Molecule: long non-coding RNA, 3265 nt
Organism: Bos taurus (domestic cattle)
Lineage: Eukaryota; Metazoa; Chordata; Mammalia; Artiodactyla; Bovidae
Source: Ensembl
GCCAUGGAGUCCCCUGGUCUGGAUUACGAACAAGGCAGAGACCCCAGCCUUGGGGGUCUCUGGGGGCAGCGGAACCCUUCAUUCGAAGGGCACAUUCCCCACUCCUAGCCUGAAAAACUGCCUGGUAUCUGGCCCAGCGCUUCUCAAACGUGGCUACAUCUCAGAAUCACCUGGAAGCUCUAAACAAACCCGAGUGGAUUCAGCUGGUCGGCCAGUGGGUGGCCUGCCCUCUUCUCUCAAAGCUGCUCCAGAUGCCCCUGCAGGUGAGAGCUGCCUGCACAGUGCCAUGCACGCAAGGAGUGCCUGACAGAGACACAGGCGGGAAGGUUCCGAGGCAUGAGGCUCGGACAGCCCUGGGAAAGUGGCCAAGGGCCUGGACCUCUGGAGCAUGGCUCUCCCAGCCUCUGCCCGCGGUCCCCACCCACAGGGAAGGCAAUGGGGAGCCUCCUCUGGCCACUGGGGUUGCCUCCUUGGCUCCACACUCCUGUCCAGCCUGCGGGGGCCGGGGUGGCCACGGUACCCCUUUAAGUGUCUUCUUGCCUCCUGGACUUUUAACCUGUGUCUCCUCAGCUGGAUGUAGAUUCCCAAAGGCAGGAACUGUGUCUCUGAGCCACUCGUCCUCCUAGGGGACAGCGUGGGGAAGUGGUCUCCAGGACAAGAAUGAAGAUGGAGGACUCGGCUGGUCCCAGAGACCUUGGAGAGUCAUUAAAAGGCAUAAAACGGAGGCUGACAUCACGCAGUGGACUGUCAAGGGGGUGAAUGGGAGAAUGCGGGAAGCACUUAACGUGGAGCCAGGCAAACCCGCCACAGCCCCCUGCAACCCUCAGACCAUCGGCAUCCACCUGUCCUGGCCGACGGCCAGACCACCAAGGAGACCAAGAUCCAUCUGCUACCAGAAGAAGCCAGAGGUUCUUCCCUUAGUGGCAGCAGGCUGGCACCUCCACCCCCGGGGAGUGGUGACCAGUGGAGGGGUAACGGGUACCUGCCAAGUCUGCCUAAAAUUCGGGGACCCCGGAGUGGUCCUCACGUCUCCCUCCAGCCCUGAGGCCCGGCUAGCUUACAGCACAGCCUGGCCACCACACGGGUCCUCUCGGGACCACUGACUCAGCCCUCCACCAGCUUCAUCACAGACGUUUCCCUUCAAUGACAACAAGUCGGCCUUAAUGUGUCCCAGAUCCGGCGACCACCAGACCCUAGGGAGGCAGGUGGGGGUGGGGCACAGAGCCAGCCUGCCCAGUGACUCUCCGACUUGGGGCCACCAGGUGAGGGGUGCUGUGACCAGCCUGGCCCUCUCCAGCACCUAGUUUUAACCACCAUCCCCAGAGGCAAGGGACAGGCCCUGGCUCCACCUGGGGGUCCAGCUUCUGGGUCCCCUCCUCUGGGGCUGCAGUAGGAAGAGGACCUGUCAGGUUGGGCCUGAAACUGGCCCCCCAGGUGAAGAUGGAGGGGACGCUACCUGCGGGGCUGCCCACAGUCACCUCAAUUCCUGCUGUGGUCUCAGAUUCCGGCUGGGAAAGCCCGGCCCAGCCCCAGGCUCCAGCAUGUGACUCUGAGUCUCCAGGACUGGGUUCGGCUUGCACACAAAUCCAGGUGUGUGGAGGCCACCCCCGCCUCCCAACCAGAAGCCCUGGUGAUGGGAGAAGGGAUGGGAGGCACCCCAGCAUUGUGCCUUCUCUGCCUAGGCAGACUGAUCACCUUGUCCUCUGUCCCUGGGACAGCAUCUCUCCAAAGGGUGGUUCCAGCCCACAGCCUCUGUGAGCAGGAUGAGGGCUGAUUCACAAGAUACAUCAGUCUGCUCGGCUGCAGCAACAGUCCCACACACGGUCCCUAAUCAAAGGCAUUUAUUUCUCCCAGUCGGAGGCUGGAAUCCCAGACCCAGGUGUAGGCACGGCUGGUCCUCCUGAGGCCUCUCUCCUGGGCGUGCAGACAGCCGCCUCCUCCCCCUGUCCUCACAGGGUCGUGCCUCUCUGUGUGUGUUUGUGUCCUGACCUCUUCCUAUAAGGACCCCAGUCCUGUGGGAUCAGGACCCACCCUAGUGACCUCAUCUUAACUUGAUCAUCUGCAAAGACCUUGUUUCCGACUAAGGCCACACCCAGGUCCUGAGGGUUAUGACCCCCACAUCUUCUGGGGGACACAGGUCUGUGCAAAGCACAGCCUAAAGUAGAUGGACUCUACGGGUCCGUCCCUCCAGGCCAGGAGAUGCACUGCCCCGCACCCACCCCGGGGAAGCUGGGCAGGAAGCAGGCCCUGCCCUCGCACUUGCCCGUGCGCUUGUGGGUGAGGGAGCCAUGCAGGAUUCUUCCUCUCGCCUGCUGGUCGCUCCAGGCAGAUGCAACCAGAGGCCAAGUGUGCAGAACUGACCACACCUGGCCAGAAUUUUUUCAAUUGUUUACUACUGUUGUCCCUGAGUCAGGAAGAUCCCCCUGGAGGAAGGCAUGACAACCCCGUCCAGUAUUCUCGCCUGGAGAAUCCCAUGGACAGAGGAGCCUGGCGGGCCUCAGUGCCUGGGGCCACACAGAGCCGGACACGACUGAGUGACAGACGCUUGUACUUGUUGUUAUCGUGAUGCAGCCACCGUUCCUCUGUUCAGAAAAGAAACAGCCUCGAGCUCCUGUCACUUCUGAUCUUGGCCCUGCAGCUCCGUUGCCAGAAAGAACAGUCUGAUGGGAGCAGAAAGUGAAUACGUCCCCAAGCUGACCUAUGGGAGUGCGUGAGGGGGCUCUUCCAGGGUCCCUGUCCAUCAUCAAAACAGGAGCCCUGUCAGAGCUGGGCUAGCAGCCCCCCACCUGCUCUCCAUCCCCAGAGUUCCAGAUGGAUUCAGCAAGAGGACGCAUCAGUGGUUCGUGUCCUUUAUUAACCAGACAGGCAUUGAGCGUCCAUAGCAGGAAGAGGCACUGCUGAGAAGGCUCAGAACACUGCUCGUGAAUCUCACAGGAUGUCGGCUUUGGAGAGGGUGGUUCCCAAGGCAGAUCUCACCACGUGAACCUCUCCCUGCCUGCGCUCGGUGCCAGAUUCAGACACAGCACCACUCCUGCGUGCUCCAGCACGUGACCAUCCUCCAGCAGGUGUGAUGAUGGUGACGAAAUCAGGAGGGCUUCCCUCAAACCCACAGUGGAUGGAGCUGGCCACGGAGGACAGGACCACCUCCGACAAACUGGGGAGGAAGAAAGCCUGCCGUUAGUCAUCCUCCUCCUCACUCUGCGUACCCCUGGGCUCCACGCCCCACGAGGAGGAAGGACCUUGCCCCCUCCCCCACGGCUGACGC